Molecule: ribosomal RNA, 472 nt
Filed under: uncultured bacterium
Lineage: Bacteria
Description: bacterial SSU rRNA
Rfam family: Bacterial small subunit ribosomal RNA
Source: RNAcentral
AACUAACGCUGGCGGCGCGCCUAAUACAUGCAAGUCGAACGAUGUAGCAAUACAUAGUGGCGCACGGGAGAGUAACACGUGGAUAAUCUCCCCUCGAGAGAGGAAUAACUAGUCGAAAGAUUGGCUAAUACUUCAUAAGACCACAGAAACUAAUGUUUCAGGGGUAAAAGUCGUAAGACGCUUGAGGAUGAGUCUGCGUCCCAUUAGCUAGUUGGUGAGGUAACGGCUCACCAAGGCGACGAUGGGUAGCUGGUCUGAGAGGAUGAUCAGCCUCACUGGAACUGACACACGGUCCAGACUCCUACGGGAGGCAGCAGUAGGGAAUAUUGCACAAUGGGCGAAAGCCUGAUGCAGCGACGCCGCGUGAGUGAUGAAGGACUUCGGUUUGUAAAGCUCUGUUGUCAGGGAAUAAAAAAAUGAAUGUACCUGACGAGAAAGGACCGGCUAACUUCGUGCCAGCAGCCGCGGUAAU